RNAcentral lists this long non-coding RNA (239 nucleotides) under Gossypium raimondii (Peruvian cotton). Its description in RNAcentral is "long non-coding RNA (GRAI_LNC009920)". The record is from RNAcentral. Lineage: Eukaryota; Viridiplantae; Streptophyta; Magnoliopsida; Malvales; Malvaceae.
AUCCAUAAAAGCAAAAAGUUUACUUCUCUCUCUGAUGUUUCAUUUUCUACAGAACGCAAGAAAAAAAAUAAAAGGGGGAUUCCCUUUUCUCUGCUAGGGUUCCAGGCUUAGCCUUGGAACCCCGCCGCCAUCCCUCUUCUCCACUUCUCUGACCUUGCCUCUGCCAUUUACAAAUCAAACUAAAAAAAACCUAAAUAAUCUCCUUCUGCAUGCGUCGCAUAAAAAAAACGAAAGCCCCC